GUAGUCUCGCACAGAUGCAUAUCAAUAAGCGGAGGAAAAGAGACUAACAAGGAUUCCCUCAGUAACGGCGAGUGAAGCGGGAAGAGCUCAAAUUUGAAAUCUUGAAAGGUCACCUUUCACGAAUUGUAGUUUAAAGAAGUGUUUUCUGUUACGAUCGUAAUAUAAGUUCUUUGGAAUAGGACAUCACAGAGGGUGAGAAUCCCGUCUAUGAUUGCGAUUUGUAGCUUUGUGAUACACUUUCAAAGAGUCGGGUUGUUUGGGAAUGCAGCCCAAAACGGGAGGUAAAUUUCUUCUAAGGCUAAAUAUUGGCGAGAGACCGAUAGCGAACAAGUACCGUGAGGGAAAGAUGAAAAGAACUUUGAAAAGAGAGUUAAACAGUACGUGAAAUUGUCAAAAGGGAAGCGUUUGACACCAGUGUUGUUUUCUCGAAAAUCAAUUAAAAAGAGUUAGAUUUUGUUGUGUAUUGACCUUAACAGCUUGCAUUUCAAUUUCUUGCUUUUUUUAAUGCACUUUUCGUUUAACAAGUCAACAUCAGUUUCUUUUGUUGUAAAAAGGUCAUUGGAAGGUGGCUUUCUUUUCGGAGAAAGUGUUUAUAGCCUUUGACUCCUGCAAUCGGAGAGACUGAGGUCUGCAGCGUAGAUCCUUCGGGGUUAGAUACAUUUGUGCUAAGUUAUAGCUUUUUAUAGACAACUUGUUGACUAUGAUUAGUCUUGUAGCUUACUCGCUUAUGCUAUUUUACCUACGCUUAGGAUGUUGAAGAUGUAGCACAUCAU
This 773-nucleotide ribosomal RNA is filed under the name uncultured Neocallimastigales. RNAcentral describes it as "partial large subunit ribosomal RNA". It matches the Rfam family "Eukaryotic large subunit ribosomal RNA", at positions 24 to 635 of the family's 3401-position model. Lineage: Eukaryota; Fungi; Neocallimastigomycota; Neocallimastigomycetes; Neocallimastigales. The record is from RNAcentral.